GACGAACGCUGGCGGCGUGCUUAACACAUGCAAGUCGAACGGAAAGGCCCUGCUUUUGUGGGGUGCUCGAGUGGCGAACGGGUGAGUAACACGUGAGUAACCUGCCCUUGACUUUGGGAUAACUUCAGGAAACUGGGGCUAAUACCGGAUAGGAGCUCCUGCUGCAUGGUGGGGGUUGGAAAGUUUCGGCGGUUGGGGAUGGACUCGCGGCUUAUCAGCUUGUUGGUGGGGUAGUGGCUUACCAAGGCUUUGACGGAUAGCCGGCCUGAGAGGGUGACCGGCCACAUUGGGACUGAGAUACGGCCCAGACUCCUACGGGAGGCAGCAGUGGGGAAUAUUGCACAAUGGGCGGAAGCCUGAUGCAGCAACGCCGCGUGCGGGAUGACGGCCUUCGGGUUGUAAACCGCUUUCGCCUGUGACGAAGCGUGAGUGACGGUAAUGGGUAAAGAAGCACCGGCUAACUACGU
Molecule: ribosomal RNA, 467 nt
Filed under: uncultured bacterium
Lineage: Bacteria
Description: partial 16S ribosomal RNA
Rfam family: Bacterial small subunit ribosomal RNA
Source: RNAcentral